AUCGGGGCAGGGUGAGUCGACCCCUAAGGCGAGGCCGAAAGGCGUAGUCGAUGGGAAACAGGUUAAUAUUCCUGUACUUGGUGUUACUGCGAAGGGGGGACGGAGAAGGCUAUGUUGGCCGGGCGACGGUUGUCCCGGUUUAAGCGUGUAGGCUGGUUUUCCAGGCAAAUCCGGAAAACUAAGGCUGAGGCGUGAUGACGAGGCACUACGGUGCUGAAGCAACAAAUGCCCUGCUUCCAGGAAAAGCCUCUAAGCAUCAGGUAACAUCAAAUCGUACCCCAAACCGACACAGGUGGUCAGGUAGAGAAUACCAAGGCGCUUGAGAGAACUCGGGUGAAGGAACUAGGCAAAAUGGUGCCGUAACUUCGGGAGAAGGCACGCUGAUAUGUAGGUGAAGUCCCUCGCGGAUGGAGCUGAAAUCAGUCGAAGAUACCAGCUGGCUGCAACUGUUUAUUAAAAACACAGCACUGUGCAAACACGAAAGUGGACGUAUACGGUGUGACGCCUGCCCGGUGCCGGAAGGUUAAUUGAUGGGGUCAGCGCAAGCGAAGCUCUUGAUCGAAGCCCCGGUAAACGGCGGCCGUAACUAUAACGGUCCUAAGGUAGCGAAAUUCCUUGUCGGGUAAGUUCCGACCUGCACGAAUGGCGUAAUGAUGGCCAGGCUGUCUCCACCCGAGACUCAGUGAAAUUGAACUCGCUGUGAAGAUGCAGUGUACCCGCGGCAAGACGGAAAGACCCCGUGAACCUUUACUAUAGCUUGACACUGAACAUUGAGCCUUGAUGUGUAGGAUAGGUGGGAGGCUUUGAAGUGUGGACGCCAGUCUGCAUGGAGCCGACCUUGAAAUACCACCCUUUAAUGUUUGAUGUUCUAACGUUGACCCGUAAUCCGGGUUGCGGACAGUGUCUGGUGGGUAGUUUGACUGGGGCGGUCUCCUCCUAAAGAGUAACGGAGGAGCACGAAGGUUGGCUAAUCCUGGUCGGACAUCAGGAGGUUAGUGCAAUGGCAUAAGCCAGCUUGACUGCGAGCGUGACGGCGCGAGCAGGUGCGAAAGCAGGUCAUAGUGAUCCGGUGGUUCUGAAUGGAAGGGCCAUCGCUCAACGGAUAAAAGGUACUCCGGGGAUAACAGGCUGAUACCGCCCAAGAGUUCAUAUCGACGGCGGUGUUUGGCACCUCGAUGUCGGCUCAUCACAUCCUGGGGCUGAAGUAGGUCCCAAGGGUAUGGCUGUUCGCCAUUUAAAGUGGUACGCGAGCUGGGUUUAGAACGUCGUGAGACAGUUCGGUCCCUAUCUGCCGUGGGCGCUGGAGAACUGAGGGGGGCUGCUCCUAGUACGAGAGGACCGGAGUGGACGCAUCACUGGUGUUCGGGUUGUCAUGCCAAUGGCACUGCCCGGUAGCUAAAUGCGGAAGAGAUAAGUGCUGAAAGCAUCUAAGCACGAAACUUGCCCCGAGAUGAGUUCUCCCUGACUCCUUGAGAGUCCUGAAGGAACGUUGAAG
RNAcentral lists this ribosomal RNA (1495 nucleotides) under Escherichia coli. RNAcentral describes it as "partial 23S ribosomal RNA". It matches the Rfam family "Bacterial large subunit ribosomal RNA", at positions 1368 to 2843 of the family's 2925-position model. The record is from RNAcentral. Lineage: Bacteria; Pseudomonadati; Pseudomonadota; Gammaproteobacteria; Enterobacterales; Enterobacteriaceae.